CGCGUAUUUCACCACGAAAUCCAUGUUCACACGGGCGAAUAUUUACCGACAGCCGGUUUGGCCGAGAAGAUGGAAUGACAAAAGCACACUGAGUAAUGCACUCGAACAACCCUUUUACUACCGUUGCAAAAUAUUAUGAGAUGUGGCUUUGGUUGAAAGCAAUAUGUGCAGUGCCAGUUUACCUACUUUCUACUGAGGGCAAGGUUGCUGGAGAUUUUCUCAGACCAAGAGGCAUGCAAUGAUGUCUCGUCUAUCUCAAGACUCUUUUUCCUUGCAAACCCAAGACGGCAGUACACAGAGACUGCAUUCUAAGAAAAAAAACAUUAGUCAUUAUUUUUAUUAUUAGCAUCGUCUUAUCUCAAUGCUCUCAUUUCUUACAAAUUCAAAUCCCAAGAAACACAAGUCGAGAAACAGACAACUGCUUGAACUGCUACUCCUGCUAUCCAUGUGCCAGCCUUAUCUCUCGCACCCAGCAUUACACACCAAUUAUUUAGUUUAUCCCACUGUCUAUUCGUAAUGGUAAUGUUGGAUAAAAACAUAUUUUCUCAGGUCUAAAUCAUCAUUUGCUAUGGUACCUUAACAAGCUGAAGGUCAAUUUGCAGCACAUUUGCAAGCUAGGAUAGAGAAAACAUUUCUUAGAAAAAUAAAAUACAAAGGAUUAAAUAAAUAAAUAAUAAAAGAAAAGAAAAGAAAGGCUCUCGGGCUCUCAAGAAGUCAGAAUAUAUUAAGCUUAUGCAUUCACAGUUUUCAAAAAGUAAAAACUUACUUCAGCAAUGUUUGUGUGCUCAUCAAUUGACACAAAUAUCUUGUACAGUAAAGUCUCAAAAUAGUCUCCCAGUACCCUGUUCAUUACAAAGUUCUCCAAAGGGGGUACUGAAAAAUUAACACAAAAGAACAGCAUUAUUAUGGUGCAGGGAGAAGCAAUGAUUAAUUACUUUUACUGCUACUUUUUGCACAUACUUAAAUUUGCGUUUUUUUUUUUGCAAUUUCAAAAGUUUAUAAACUGAAAUCUCCUAAAAAAUAAUAAUGGGUGAGCUUUGAUCUUGUCAAAUUCAAUGGACAUAGAAAAAUCAUUUAUUUAAUCUGCUUGUGAGGACAAGUACAGUAAUAUGAUAAUUGAUAAUUGCUCAGAGAAAAGAACACUUUUACAUUAUUGUAAGACUGACUUUUAAGGAAAUUCAGGUGUUGCUAUAAGGGA
This is a long non-coding RNA of Nematostella vectensis (starlet sea anemone), 1198 nucleotides long. RefSeq lists it as uncharacterized. The transcript has 2 exons. The record is from RefSeq and is a predicted model, not a curated record. NCBI's taxonomy places the organism in Eukaryota, Metazoa, Cnidaria, Anthozoa, Actiniaria, Edwardsiidae.